AGGUGUGAGUGCUUUUCAAUUUUUUUUUUAUUUUUUACUCUGUAAUAUCUACGAUUCAAGAUAGUAAAAAUUUUCAUCUUUUUUUAUUCGUGAUUUUUUUCUUGAUUUAAAGAUUUUUUUAGUAAAUUCUGUGUGUUUGCAUUGAUUUUUGUCUCUUCGAUUUCUUAUUUAUUGAUGUCUUGUUACUGUUAGAAAUGUUUGGCCAGGAUACUACCACCACA
Molecule: long non-coding RNA, 221 nt
Filed under: Elaeis guineensis (African oil palm)
Lineage: Eukaryota; Viridiplantae; Streptophyta; Magnoliopsida; Arecales; Arecaceae
Description: long non-coding RNA (EGUI_LNC007250)
Source: RNAcentral